AGAAGGAGGCCAGGAGUUGUGAGUUUCCAAGCCCCAGCUCACUCUGACCACUUCUCUGCCUGCCCAGCAUCAUGAAGGGCCUUGCAGCUGCCCUCCUUGUCCUCGUCUGCACCAUGGCCCUCUGCUCCUGUGCACAAGUUGGUACCAACAAAGAGCUCUGCUGCCUCGUCUAUACCUCCUGGCAGAUUCCACAAAAGUUCAUAGUUGACUAUUCUGAAACCAGCCCCCAGUGCCCCAAGCCAGGUGUCAUCCUCCUAACCAAGAGAGGCCGGCAGAUCUGUGCUGACCCCAAUAAGAAGUGGGUCCAGAAAUACAUCAGCGACCUGAAGCUGAAUGCCUGAGGGGCCUGGAAGCUGCGAGGGCCCAGUGAACUUGGUGGGCCCAGGAGGGAACAGGAGCCUGAGCCAGGGCAAUGGCCCUGCCACCCUGGAGGCUACCUCUUCUAAGAGUCCCAUCUGCUAUGCCCAGCCACAUUAACUAACUUUAAUCUUAGUUUAUGCAUCAUAUUUCAUUUUGAAAUUGAUUUCUAUUGUUGAGCUGCAUUAUGAAAUUAGUAUUUUCUCUGACAUCUCAUGACAUUGUCUUUAUCAUCCUUUCCCCUUUCCCUUCAACUCUUCGUACAUUCAAUGCAUGGAUCAAUCAGUGUGAUUAGCUUUCUCAGCAGACAUUGUGCCAUAUGUAUCAAAUGACAAAUCUUUAUUGAAUGGUUUUGCUCAGCACCACCUUUUAAUAUAUUGGCAGUACUUAUUAUAUAAAAGGUAAACCAGCAUUCUCACUGUGACGACUCUGUUGAUUUUGUUUCACUAAUCGGAAUCACAGACUGAGAGGAAUUCUGGGGGAGGAGUAGGGAAAUAUGAAAAGGGGCAGAAACAGCAAGAUAGGGACCAAGUACUUCUACAGUCAUACCAGACAUUUCCCUGGAGAUACUUUCCUGAAAAGUUGAAACAGACACCAUUAGUUUAUAAACCAUAUUGUAACUGAAAUGUGAUAGAAAAAUUUUCUACUUAAAUGAAUAUCAAGAUGACGCUGCAAUGCAUAUUUACGCACACAAGCUCAUUUUCAUAAAUGAAGCUUUCCUCAGAAUGAUGGCUAACAUCUGUUGAGGUCUUACCAAGUGCUGGGUUUUGGGCUAAGUACUUAUAUUAGUAAAAGUCUAGCAAAUACUGCCCAUAGUCUAGCAAGGACUCCUUACCUGGAAGUUGCUGAAAGCCUUGGUAAUGUUAUCUUUGUUCUCCACUCUGCUUUUGGGGAGGAUGUUUUCCAUGACUAUACGAGAUGAGGCUUGGGGCUGGGUGGCCAGAGUUAGCAAAUAAAAAUACAGAAUGGAUACUAUUUUAGUGUAAGUAUAUCCCAUGCAAUAUUUGGGACCUACUUGUACCAAAAAUGAUUUGUUCUUUUUCUGAAACUCGAAUUUAACAGGGUAUCCUAAAUUGUAUCUGGCAACCCUCUGAAGAAGGAAUACUGCUUAUAGAGGUGUCUGUUUCCUGUUGGAGAUGUCUGUUGAUUUUGGCUUAAGUGUAGAACAGGGCUUUGGCUUAAGUGUAGAACAGGGCUUUGGCUUAAGUGUGGAACACGGCUUCUCAACCUUGAAUUCACAUUAGAAUCACUUAGGAGAGCUUUUAAAAAUUCUAAUGCCAGGUCCUCACCUCCAAAGUUAUGAAUUUAAUUGGAUUGAUGUGGGGGCCUGGCAUCAGUAAUUUAAAAACUCCCCAGGGGAUGUUAAUGCACAGCCAAGUUUGAGAACCACUGUUGGUGUGGGGUCACAGGCUGUUUUUAACCAGCAUUAAGGUUUCAGAGGCACUGCAACUCCGUUCUAAUUUUUGAAGGCAUCUGAUCUAGUUAUUUUUGGUUCAUUCCAUUGGAUGGUUAAUCAUAAGCAGAAAAUCUAUCAGAUACAGUUAUUUCUAGAACUGGGUUUUUAACACGUCUCUUCCAGCACAGCACUGGGAGCUCUGUGGUCAUCCCUUCCGCCGCCCACCGGCUCCCCCAUUGUAUUGACUCCACAUUGCCCCCUGCUGGUGAAACAAGUGCGAAGGUCAGCGUCUUUAGCUCCCUGCCUCUGAUGAAUACAGCUGCACCUUCACAAAGAGCACAGCUGUUCAUUGUGAUGGUUAAUGUUACGCGUCAACUGGACUAAGCUAAGGGAUACCCAGGUAGCUGAUAAACAUCAUUUCUGAGUGUGUCUGUGUGGUGUUCCAGAAGAGAUUAGCAUCAGAAGACUAAAGAAGAUCUGCCCUCACCAAUGCAGGCAGGCAUCAUCCAAUUCACUGAGGUCCCAAAUAGAACAAAAAGGCUGAGGAAGGGUGACUUUGCUGUCUGCGUUUGAGCUGGGACAUCCAUCUUCUCCUGCCCUCUGACAUCCACGCUUCCGAUUCUUGAGCCUUCAGACUCAGACAGGGACUUGUACCAUCACCUACCCUUCUUGACCCCUUCUCAGGUCUGUGAACUUGGACCAGGACUGACAACUUUGGCUGCCCUGGUUCUCAGGCCUUCAGACCAAAUCACACCACUGGCUUUCCUGGUUCUCCAGCUUGCAGAUGGCAGGACUUCUUGGCUUCCGUAAUUGUGGGAGCCAAUUCCCCUAAUAAAUAUCUCGAGCAAGUUUGCCAACCUGUAUCUUAAUUCAUCUUUGUGGCCAGAGAAGUGGAUUUACUGAUUUGUUUCAGCUGAUCAAUGUCUAUAACAAGCAAUGUUGAUGGGCUGAAAACCACACAGACUACCAGAGGGGUUGCUUUUCCGAAGAAUCAUGUAAGGAUAAAAGAGAAAGAAAGAGAGAAAGACCUUGGAACCCAACUAGUAUCUACCAAAUAGACAGGAUCUCACUGUGUUGCCCAGGCUGGUCGCCAACUCCUGGCCUCAAGUGUUCCUCUGGCCCUGGCCUCCCAAAGCACUGGGAUUACAGGGGCAGCUCUUCCCUGGUUCCCUGCAGACCCCAGGUCAGGCCAGAAAACACCUCUAUGGCCCUUCCCUGUGUCCCACCACCAGAUAGGACCUCAAAGGCCUGGGGUCCCCAGGAUGGCCCUCAAACCGACUGGUGCCCUUGCAGGCUGCCACCCUCCAAGUCCUGCUUCUCUCCAGAGAUGGGCAGAAGCACCAGCCCUCGCCUGGCACCAGCAGUGAGUCUCAUAAUUGCCAUUUACCAUUUUGCUAGGGGGGCUUCUGGGGGUCCUAGGAAAAGCAGCAGAUGCCUGGGUGCUUGGGGACCUGGGCAUUCUGAGGGAAGGAGCAGCGUGACCCUGAGUCAUUUUUCACUGGGGACAAGUGAGCCAACUCCUUCUACCCAGUGAUAAAAUCAGAAGGAAGUAGAUGGAGACAGCACUGUUCAGGGGAUGAUUUGGGGAUGAGAAGAACUGGCAGGAAGUUGGAGAUUUGGGGGUGAGAAGAACCAGCAGGAAGUUGGGGAUUUCUUGUUUCCCCACUUUUCCCUUCCAUUUCUGUUUGAGCCUUAGGUUUGGCCUCCAUCUCCCUCUGUAGAAAUUGCAGCUAGUUAGAUAGUCUGCCUCUUAUUCCAGCUCUACUGGGGGAACAUAAUAUGGUCUAAGAAGAAAUUUUUCCAGCAAGAGGCCAUCUCUGCAAAUCACCUGUGAGGCAGACCUGUGGCAAUUUUAUGACUCAGCUGGCCACCAGGAAGCGAUUGUAGCUGGGUUCUGCCCCUUAUUGAAACCUACUCAAUGUUCUCCUUCACUAAGUAGGACAAGACCGUACCCUGCCUUUAAGGUUUAUAGAAUAGAAAGUGAAAACACUUUGGGGAAGAAAAUCUUCCUGAACAGAUAGCCCAGGGCAUUUUGAAAAUCCCUUAGGAAGUUCUCUGUUUCACUUGGGUACCUCUGUCCCUGGACUUUGGCGAUGUGGUUUGACCCCAGCCAGAGAGUGCAGGGAACAACAGCAAAAGGCAGGACAAAGACUGACUCGUGAGAGGAGGCCCAGGAACAGGGGGGCAUCGUGAGAGAGGAGGACGUGAGGGCCCAAGAGUGUGAGCAGAAGAGGAUAGGACUUGGGCACUCAGUCACCAGCUGUGGGGUCUGAGCUGUGUCCCCUUCUCUAAAGAGGUAAGCCCUGAGUCAUGGGAAGAUGGAAACCGGGGCUCAUGAGACAGGAUGUUUUUUAAGCACCGUGGUGUCUUGUUGACUUGCACAUGCAAGGGGGUCUUGGGUAACCACAGGGCUCAGGGUAUUUGCAGGAACAGUUCAAGUGCUCACUUGUCUUGGGGCUGUUUGUGGGGAAGUGGUUUCCACAGCAACAGGAGGUGAGAUAUUGGUGUUACCCCAGACCACACUUAGCUACUUCCUUCUCACUAAAGCUCUGUAGUCAUAUUUUCCCUGGCAGAGCAGAAACUUCUCUGUUAUCCCACAGCUGUUCUAACGGUGUAGACUUGACUUAUGCAAUGAUGCCAGGAGUCCUGAGCAGCACAGCCCAACUUCAAUCACACACAGAUGGACAGAGCUGUAUUAGCAAAGCCUGAGCUACUGAGCGAUGAGAGUACAGCCAGGCUUUCAGACAUCUGUUCAUUCAAGAGAGAUAUGCGCUAAGCCAAGGACCUAAAGAUGUGUUUAAUAUGGGUGCUAAUAUGCAUAAGGAACCUUGAAAUAAAUGUUCUUAGCCUUUGGCCAAGAGGGUCCAUGUCUAGGAAUCUAUUCUCCAUAGAAAUAAAUUCAAAUAUGGAAAAAAUGAACAAUGCAUAAGUGUAUUUGGUCCCCAGCAUAUUUAUAGCAACUUAAAAUUGGACCCAAUUUAAAUUGCCUAUGAUAUGGAAAUGGCUAAGAAAAUUAUGGGAUCUUCCCUUGAUUGGCUAUUAGGCAGCCUUUACAAACAAUGCAGUGACAUGAGAAAUGCUUAUGUUAUGGUAAGCUUAAAAAACUCAAGAUGCAAAUCAGCUUAUUUUAAUCAGGAGCCACCUAGCAUUUGGGAUGUGGUCAAUCCCACAUAAUGUAUUUUUGUGGGUGCAGUUCCCAGGAAAGAGGAGGAAUAAAAACGGCAAGUAUGAAGUGUCUCCUUCGCUUGCAGUCUCCUUGUCUACCCCUUUGUCCAUCCACUAUGAAAGGACUCCCUUCUGUUCCUUAAUAUGGACAAUUUCUAUUGAGGACUCAUUGUUCUAAGAAUUGUCUCAUCUCCUCCUGCAUCCUCAGUGCCCGAUCUUUGGCUUCUAUGAAGGAAGGUGGGUAGUGCUUAUGGCAGGGCCAGUUCUACCUUUCUCAGUAUGUUCUGGAGUGGGUAUGUAGCCCCAUUUUCUAGUGGUUACCUUGACAUCAUGAAGAGUUUAUGUCUCUUUUGCCCUAGAUUUGGGCAAUAGUCAUUCAUUGGGCAACUGGAAAUAACACAAGUCAGCAUCUCAUUAAAAAUAAAGUCAUUCAGGAAAGUGGACGACUAAUAGUUUCUAAUCUAGAGAGCAUAGGAGAAGAAAUGUUUACCACACACAAAGUAUUAGUGCCUUUUAUAUCAUCAAGACAAAAAUAACAGGAAAAAGACAAACACAUUAUAGUGAAAACUUGUUUUUCCUGACCAGCAUCUAUUCUGCAUGUUCCCUGAUGCCAGAAACUCACAUUUCUUCAGGGCAAACCCCCUUCCCCACCAUUCUCAGGCUUUAAGUUUAUGUAAAAUUCAGUAAACCCAAAGAUUCAAGUUAUGUGCCUUGAUUAACUUAAGCAAAUCAAUGAAACCCAUCCCCAUAACCACAGCGACUGGUUAGGAAUUCGGUUCCUAAGUCAGUCAAAUCCAAAAGGGCCUAGUGAUGUUUUUUCCAAUGGGAACACAGACUCACUCUUCCCUGCAGAAAAUGAACAAGGAUUCAUGUACACUGGCAGGUACUGGCAGCCACCCAGGGCCUCUCACAGGAAAGGGAGAUCAGAAAGAGAAGCAAAGAGGACUCAUGAGAUACCACAGGGCCGCUGCGUCCAGCCUUGCCUGGAGCUAGGGCCACCUCGAUGCCCUAUAGUCUUGGAGCCACAAGGUGCAUUUACUCAAAGCCUCUUUGAGUUUGGUUUGCUUGUUUGCUUUCUGCCUGGAAACUGCCAGCAUCCUGAGAGAUACGAGAUCUGCAUCUGUGCAGAGACACAGGGUUUGUUAAAAGUCACAGGCCCUGACUGAAGUGUGGAACUGGCUGAAAUGAGAAAGUAGGAGGUAAUUUGGUGAGGACCUUGUGAAAUGGAAGUGAGUUUUAAACCUUACAUGCAUCAGAAUUACCUGGAGCCUUGUGAAAACACAGGUUGCUGGGCCCUAGUCUAUUAAGAAAGGAAGUGGGGCUCAGAAUAUGCCUUUCUCCCAAGUUCCCAGGUGAUAUUCACCAUGCUGUCCUGUCUGGGCACUACCUUUUGCCAUACCCAUUACAAGGUAUUGCACGUGCUGGUUGAACUAUGGUCUGUCUUAUUUUGGUGCUAAAAGCCUGUGCCAAAUACCAAGGCUGCAGCAUUAAGGAAUUUGUUAGAAAAGAUUCUGAAUAUUGGAAUUUAGUUGCUGUGUAUUAUAUCAGUAAGGUCCUUUAAGAAAGAGUUUAGGCUACUUUGAAAUGGGCUCAUCUGAAAUUGAAAAAGAAGAAAUGCGACUUGCUAAAAAGGCCCUUCCAGCCUGUUGACUGAGAAUCCAGUAAUCUGAAGACUGAAAGGGCUGUAAAUGCAGGAUUUUCUACUCUAAGAUAAAGUUAGCAUGAGCAGAGACAGGAAGAUGAGAGACAUAAUGAGGCCAAGCGUCAAAUAUUCAUCACCUCCACAUGGGCCAAGAUGCAGGCAGAGGUCUCUCACCAGGGGCUGGGAGGUCGGGGUGACAAUGGUAGUGCAGUCUGUGCUAGAAAGUGCACAUCCCCAGCUGGGCGCAGUGGCUCACGCCUGUAAGCUCAGCACUUUGGGAGGCCAAUGCUGGCGGAUCAUGAGGUCAGGAGUUAGAGGCCAGCCUGGCCAACAUGGUGAAACCCUAUCUCUACUAAAAAUAUAAAAACUUAGCUGGGUGUGGUGGCGGGCACCUGUAAUUCAGCUACUUGGGAGGCUGAGGCAGGAGAAUCGCUUGAACCCGGAAGGCGGAGGUUACAGUGAGCCGCGAUCACGCCACUGCACUCUAGCCUGGGUGAUAGUGGGAGACUCCAUCUCAAAAAAAAAAAAAAAAAAAGAAAAAAGAAAAUGCACAUCCCCAACCCCAGUUAAAAUGCAAAUGCAAACUAUGUAACUGACAACCUGUCUGCUUCUGGCUACCUGGCCCAUGGAAUUGAUCAGAAGCAAAUAGUAGCCUACAGACAUUAGAAGGGAGUCACAUUGCCAAAGAAACCAUAAGACUGGUUCCAAAAAGUUGCUGAUUGCACAAUACCUAAGGCAACCUCAGGCUAACUCACACAGACAGGAAGUCAGCAGCCUCCAGAAAGCAGAUCCUCCACAUUGCACAUCUCAGAUUGUCCAUAGAGGACAUUCUCCCAGGGAGGAGAGCUAGGGACUGCCAGAUCAGCUGAACUGCUUAAAAAUGCAGUACCCAUUCUCCAGUUCCCUAUCAGGGGUCUUUGUUCAACUUACUGUUUGUUCAUAACACUUGUAUUUAGGGAAUGUUGGGCAUGAUUAAACUUCGUUUAGCUUUGGGUUUCUAGACCUUGAGAAACAAUUCAGUGCAGGCAAAUAUUGUAUGCCCCUAUAUUUUUUCCUGAAAGCCAAUAAAGAAGGAAUGAUGACACCUUCACUGCGUCUAUGGGGACAAAAGCUGCUUGUGUGUGUGUGUGUGUGUGUGUGUGUGUGUGUGUGCGUGUGUGUGUGUGAGAGAGAGAGAGAGAGAGAGAAACAGCCUUGUCAAAAAGACGUGUUUGUUGCUGUACCCUCAUUAUAUGAAAGCCAUCAUGGCAUCAAAACAGUAUAAGCCAGGUUGAGCUCUAUCCUCUCUGCAUCAACUCAGAAUCCCUACCAGAAAGUGGUUGUGAUGGAUGGAAUAUCACCCAUCAAAGAAUAGGGUAAGAUGAGACCAGAGAGGUAAGCUAUGCAAGCUAAUCAGAAAAUAACUCAAAGUUUUAAAAGUGCAGAAUAUAAAAAGGAAAAACCCUCAUUCCUAAAAAAAAAAAAAAGCCUCAUUUCCUCAAAGAAAUCAGUUAGCUAUUUGAUGUGUAUCUUUCCAAAUAUUUGCCUAUGUAAAUAUAUAUGUAUAUAUGGCAUUUAAAAAUAAAACAAAAUAAUAUACUUUACAGAUAGUUCCAUAGCAUAUGUAGAGAAUAUAUAUGCAUAUACUGAAUGUAAUUAGGUCUGCCUUUUACAUAUAAUAUUAUGGACACUUUCCACAGUUAUAGAUGUGUGCUACUUUUUUUUUACUGACUUCAGAAUAUUCCACUGAUGGACAUCUUAAUCCUCUACUGAUUAAUCCCCUACUGAUGACUGUUUGCAUUUCUUUGCUGUUUGCCAACCACACUGCAAAGAAUAUCCUCAUGUCUACAUAUCUUAUCUUUUGGCAGUGUUUCUAUGAAGCAGAUUCCUAGAAAUGGGAUCAGGUCAAAUGGGAUGUAGUUCACAUAGUAUAUGCAUUUUAAUAUUUGCUAAGUAGUAGUGUUUAUGCUUUAAAGAGUUGGAACACUACAAUUCUAAACAUGUUUGGACACAAAAAAUAGAUUAUUUGAAACAAAAUGAAAUAAGCAUAGCUCGUAAAAAUUAACACGUUUGGUUUUCACACAAAUAUUUUGAAUUUCUCUUUCUUCUGCAAAAAGGACCCUAGCUUAGUAUGGAUUUCUUGUACAGAUAAUGCAAACAAUCCAUCUAUUAAAUAACUUACCUUUCACAGUAAACCUAUAGACAGCAUCCUGCUCCACACAGAAGCUGAUUGUCUUUUCCUUCUCUAACAUUAGCUAUUUAUUUUGUAGAGUGUAGAUUCUAGAGAAAUAAUGUAUAAUACACCUGUUGCCAUAUGCAGAGACUUACCACAUUUAGAAAACAGUGGUGAAUUCUAUUGACAGUGGCUCUCAGUCAUUAACAUGCUAUGGAACACCUCAUGAGCUUGAUAAAAAUAUCAGUUCCCAGGUCUACACUUAAAGAUCCUAUUUAAGUGGCUUCAACAAUCACUGCUCAAACACUCUAUGUCAACUCAGAAUCCUGACAGGAAGUGGUUGCAAUGGAUAAAGUAUCAUCUGUUAAAGAAUGGGGUAAGAUUUGAGUAUAGGCGGGUCAUACUUUGGGAAAUAACUUGGUCAAUGGUUAACAGCAUAGUCUGUAGUUCAAUAAAAGUCCAGUUUUGGAACACAAUUGACCGUUUACGUGCUGUGUAACCUCAGCCAAGUUGUCUAACCUUUCUGAGCCCUGGGUUACUUUUCUGUCAAGUGGAGGUAUUAAUAGUACCUAAGCUGUACUAUUGCAUUGGUAAGAUUAAAUGAGCAAUGUAUAAAAAGCGCUCAGUAGGAGGAGUAAGCCUCAACAAUGUAAAUAAUUGCUAUUAAGAGCUUGAUUCAUCAUGAAUAUGCCCUACAGAAUACUAUGCUUAAUGGUGGCCAUUCGAGUAGUGAAUUCUCCUAGAGCAUGCAUGUUAUGAUUUGAGUUAUAACAUAUUCGUAGUUUCAAUGUUCCAGAACUGUGUCUCCGUUGUAAAGUGGAUAACUCUGUGGUAGCCCUCCCCAUCUCUCCCAAUUUCCCUCCAUUUCACCUCUUCCUAAUCUUUGCCUAUGAUUCCUCUUAACCAGUGAUUUUGAUUUGCCAGAAAAACAAAACCAAACUCAAUACUGGUUUACCUUUUAAAAGAG
This 9679-nucleotide long non-coding RNA is filed under the name Homo sapiens (human). RNAcentral describes it as "HSALNT0389501". The record is from RNAcentral. Lineage: Eukaryota; Metazoa; Chordata; Mammalia; Primates; Hominidae.